Molecule: long non-coding RNA, 8950 nt
Filed under: Physcomitrium patens
Lineage: Eukaryota; Viridiplantae; Streptophyta; Bryopsida; Funariales; Funariaceae
Description: long non-coding RNA (PPAT_LNC007194)
Source: RNAcentral
ACUUGAAUUAAUUGAAAAAAAUGAUUAAGUAGGGAAUAACAGUUAAAAUCUAGAAAUUCAAGGAUAAGUAAAUAAUAGUUAAAGAAGAUAUUGGAGUGGUUAGAUUGUGAUUGUCAUGAGCCGGGAUAAGCUUGGUGCUAUUUCUUAUUUCUUAUUUAUUUUGUUGUUUUAGGUUUUGAUCAUUAUGAAGUGAAUCUAUAGAAUAAAUCAAAGAUUGAUUUAUAAGAUAUUAAGUAUGUAUUGAAGUACUAUGUGAUUGAAUUAUUAUAAAAAGAUAUUAAAAGUUUGUUAUCAAAUUCUAUAAGAAAUUAUUUAUGGAUGGAAGAUUAUGAUUAUUAUUUAUUGAGAGUUAUAUGUGUUUUGACGGAGGAAGUCUAGAUUACAAAAAUUACGUGAAGCCAAAUUGGUUGGAGUGGAAGUCUGUUAUUUUUGUUGUUGGAUGGAAUUUAUGUGAUUUGAAUAGUCUUUUGAGAGAGCAGGGUUACACUUUAUUAUUAUCAAUUGAUGAAGGAGUAUUGUUAGUGGGAGAAAGCAUUGUAGUAUUCUUUGGUAUUUUUAGUGGUUUGGAAUACGAUUAAUUAUGUGAUUCUAACAUAUAAGUUCAUGUGGUUAGUCUUUCUUUGUAUUUGAAUGUCCUUCUAUACAUUUAUUUUGAAAAGAAUUUGUAGAAUAAGUAAAAUAAUAAUCACAUAUUGUAAAAAAUUAUCUUAAAAAAAUAGAUAGUAUUCAAGGGAUAGAAAAUUUAAAGGUGCUAAUACUGCCUUUUUAUAAAAUAGACUUCUAUUCACUUUGUAGGACCACAAAUAGAGCAAAAUAAGAUAGAUUGGAAAAAUAAAAAAUAUAUGCACCUUUGAAAAGAAAUUAAAAGUAGUUUUUAGCAAAAAUUAUUUAGAAAAAUUAGAUAUUGAUACUUAAAAAGAGCCAGUUAUGAAUUAGGAUUGAAAUUAGACUAUGAGGCACAAAACUGAGCUCCAGUGACGAUUUUGGGAUUUUUUGGCAAAUCAAAGAGUAGAAUUAGAAAACAAACUUAAUAAGGUUUCAAUGAACAUUAUUUUGAGGUAAUUUGGAUUUUUAUUGACUUUGUAAGAGCUUUACAAAAUUAGGGUUUGUUUUGGAUGACUUUGGAUUUGUGAAAUAAAAGAGGAGAUACUUUUUGGAGAAUUUUGUAAAUUUUGCAAUAGAUUCAAAAGUAAAAUUUUAUAAGUUUAUGGAUUUAUAUGUGUUUAAUAUAUAUUGUGAAUUUGAGCUAGAUCAAAGGAAUAAAUUAAGGGUUAUUAAGGUUUAAGUGGGUUAAAAACUUAGGAAGUACAGUUUUAAAUCUAGUAAGAGUUUCUAAGAUUUCUUGCAAUCCAGGAGUUGGAUUGAAGUAAAAAUUAUAUAUAUAGAUAGUAGACUUAUUUUUCUAUAUAUUUGAAAAAUUUGAGAUCAAUUGAAUGGUUUAAUAAGGAGAUAUUGGGGCUGAAAAUUAAACAUUUAGAUUAGAGAAGGAGGUUGGCCAACAUCCAAACAAAUAUUAAGAUUGAUCUUUUUUUUCAUGAGUAUGAUCUUCUUUAAAACUUUGAUGUUUGCUGUCAACUUAAUUUUUGAAAGACGUGCAAAUUUUGAGUUAAAAUCAACAAUUCAUUCAUUAGUUAUUGAGGUUUAAAUAUGCUAUAGGAAUUAUUUGGGAUUAUUUAGGAUUUAGUUAGGAUAUGUUUAAAAAUUGAUUAGAAUUUGAUUAAGAUCAUUUAGGAUUUUAUUAGGAUUUACUUAGGAUUUGUUUAGGAUUUGAUUAGGAUUUGUUUAGGAUUUGACUAGGAUUUGAUUAAGGUUUGUUAGAAUUUGGUUAAGAUUUGUUUAGGAUUUGUUUAGGAUUUUUUAGGAUUUGGUUAAGAUUUUUUUAGGAUUUGGUUAAGAUUUGUUUAAGAUUUGAUUAGGAUUUGGAUAAGAUUUGUGUAGGCUUUGACUAGUACUUAUUUAAGUUUUAUUUAAGAUUUGGAUAGGAUUUUUUUUAAACUUUGAGUAGGAUUUAUUUAGGAUUUGCUUAGGAUUUGGAUAGGAUUUGGUUAAAAUUUGUUUAGAAUUUUAUUAGGAUUUGUUUAUGAUUUUUUUAGGAUUUUUUAGGAUUUUUUAGGAUUUAUUUAAGAUUUUUUUAGGCUUGACUACGGUUUAUUUAUGAUUUGGUUAGGAUUUGUUUAGGAUUUUGUUAGGAUUUGGUUAGGAUUUGUUUAGGAUUUGUUUAGGAUUUGACUAGGAUUUUAUUAAGAUUUGAUUAGGAUUUAUUUAGGAUUUGUUUAGGAUUUGAUUAAGAUUUGUUUAAAAUUUGUUUAAGAUUUGUUUAGGAUUUGUUUAGGAUUUGUUUAGGAUUUGGUUAGAAUUUUUUUAAGGUUUGACUAGGAUUUAUUUGAGAUUUGAUUAGAAUUUGUAUAGGAUUUGGUUAAGAUUUGUUUAGGAUUUGUUUGGGAUUUGGUUAGGAUUUGUUUAGGAUUUUGUUAAGAUUUGGUUAGGAUUUGUUUAGAAUUUGACUAGAAUUUGAUUAAGAUUUGAUUAGGAUUUAUUUAGGAUUUGUUUAGGAUUUGAUUAAGAUUUGUUUAAAAUUUAUUUAGGAUUUGUUUAGGAUUUUUUUAGGAUUUAUUUAAGAUUUGGUUAGAAUUUUUUUAAGGUUUGACUAGGAUUUAUUUGGGAUUUGAUUAGAAUUUGUAUAGGAUUUGGUUAAGAUUUGUUUAGGAUUUGUUUGGGAUUUUCUUAGGAUUUUUUUUGGAUUUGACUUGGAUUUGACUUGGAUUUGACUUGGAUGUGAUUAAGGUUUGUUUAGGAUUUGAUUAAGAUUUGGUUAGGAUAUUUUAGGAUUUGAUUAGGAUUUUUUAAAGAUUUGGUUAAGGUUUGUUGAGGUCUUAUUUAGGAUUUGGUUAAGAUUUGGUUAGAAUUCGACUAGAAUUUGAUUAAGAUUUGUGUAGGAUUUGAUUAGAAUUUGGUUAGGAUUUGAUUAAGAUUUGGUUAAGAUUUAUUUAAUAUUUGAUUAGGAUUUGGUUAGAGUUUUUUUAGGAUUUGAUUAAAAUUUGAUUAAGAUUUAUUUGUGAUUUGAUAAGACUUUGAUUAGGAUUUGUUAAGAUUUGAUAAAGAUUUUUUAGGAUUUUAUUAAGAUUUGUUUAGGUUUUUUUUAGGAUUUGGUUAGAGUUUGAUCAUGAUUUGACUAGGAUUUGGUUAAGGUUUGUUUAGGAUUUUAUUUGAAUUUGGUUAGGAUUUUUUUAGGAUUUGGUUAAGAUUUAUUUAAGAUUUGAUUAGGAUUUGGAUAGGAUUUAUUUAGGCUUUAACUAGGAUUUAUUUAAGAUUUGGUUAGGAUUUAGAUAGAAUUUGGUUAGAAUUUAUUUUGGAUUUGACUAAGAUUUAAUUAAGAUUUGUUUAAGAUUUUGAUUAGGAUUUAUUUAAGAUUUUAUUAGGAUUUGUUUAGGAUUUGGUUAGGAUUUAUUUAGAAUUUGAUUAGAAUUUAUUUAGGAUUUGGUUAGAAUUUGUUUAUGGUUUGUUUAGAAUUUGGUUAAAAUUUGUUUAAAAUUUGAUUAGAAUUUGGUUAAGAUUUGUUAAGAUUUGACUAGGAUUUAUUUAGAGUUUGGUUAGAAUUCGACUAGAAUUUGAGUAGAAUUUGAUUAAGUUUAGACUAAGAUUUAAUUAAAGUUUUUAUUUUAAUAUUUUAUUAAUUUUUCUAUUUUAGUAUAUUUUUAAAUUUUAAUAUUAUUAUGAUUCUUUAAAGGAUUUCUUAGAAUACUUUGUAUUCUGACAUAAUUCCUUUAAAAUUUUAAUUAAAUUUGAUUGAUGUUUGAUUGUAUUUGCUAAUCUUUAAUUAUAAUUUGUUUAAAAAUCUAUUAAAAUGGUUAGGACUUAUUACUACAAUUUUCCUUCUAUCUUCCACAGUCAGGUGCCCGAUACAUUUUCAAGCCAAAUGCCAUGUAAUACGACAUACUUUAGUGAAUCCAUUGUAAAAAGCUUGAAAUAGAAGGUAUUUAGAAAUUUUUCUUGGUUUAUUUGAAUUAUGGAGAAGAAAGGCAAGAAGAUGGAAGGUUGAAUUUUUAAUAGUGCUUCAAGUGAAAUUGGAAGUGGUGCUAUAAGUAGAGUUGGAAGUGGAGCUUCAACUGGAUGACAAGGUAUGUAUUUUGACUCGAACUUUACAAGCAUGUUUGAGGCAUUUACUUUAUUUAUAUAACAAUAUGUUUAAGAUCGCAAAGAAGGUAUGGCAAAAAAAGCAUUGCAAACGGUUGUAGAUAAGAUUGAUCAAUUUGAUGGAAAGAAUAUUAUAAAAUAUUUAAAUUAUUAUGUAAAGGAGAUGGAAUUGAAGCAUGUUUCAAAGAAUGAGAUGGUUCAAUUAUCUAAACUAGGUACUGCACCAAAAAUAAAAAGUCAUGUGAAGUCCAUUAUAGGACAAUCUGGAGGUUCAUGGAAAAAUUUAUCUCAAGUAUUAAAAGAUGAGUAUUUUUUAAAAGAUAGUCAUAUGGUCAUAAAAAAUCUAUUUUUUAAGUGGAUUGAAAGACCUAACAAGGGUCUCUAAGCAACAAAAUUAUUGAAGGAGUUUGAAAGGCAAUAUUCAUCUUUAUAAAAAAAAAGAUAAUUAUUAGAUCUAAGCAAAGUGGAGUUAUUUCUUCAAGCAAGUGAUGAAAAAUUACAAGAUAAGUUGGAAAUUUUGCUUGAAUAUAAAGAAGAAGAAGAAGGAUUGACAACAAAUUUGAAGAAAGUAGAAGAAGCAAUAGGAUUACUUACAAAAAAAGAAAGAAAAAAGGACAAGGUGGGUGUUCAAAAAUCAUUGCAAGUAUCUAAGGUAAAAAUACCUUCUAUUCAUCCUACAUUUUUGACUCAAUCUUCAAUGUCUAUAUCAAAGAAAGAAGAAAUAAGCAUGGAUGAAAUCAUAUGUAGAAUGAGAUAUUCACAACUUAAAUUUGUAAAACUUGAGGAUAAGGGAUAAAUAUCAAGAAUGUCAACAAGACAAAAAUCAGGACCAAUGGAAGGUAUAGUGCAUUGGUGCAUGUGAUGUAAUAGCAUAGAUCAUUCAAAAAAUGAGUGUGAAGAUUUUUCAGAGGUGCUAUGCAAAAAAAUUAUUUUUUUUAAAGAUAGUAUAAUACACUUAAAAGAGAGUAGAGAAAAAUUAGAAAUAAAUUUUUGUAAAGGAAGAAUGAAGGUAUUUGUAGGAGAUGUUUUUAAAAUAUAUAGAAUUUCAAGCAAUGAAGCAUCAACAUUUUGGGUGGAGGCAAAUCCAAGCAAAUAUUUAAGUAUAAGUCUUAAGUAUGAAGGAGAAUCUAAUUCUUUGUUAUGAAGUAGAAUGAAUUAUGUUAAAAAGAAAAAAAUUACUAGAGAUGAUUUAAAAAAUAUUGGCAAUAAUAUUCAGAAAAUUACUUGGUGGGAUGAUCCACUAGAUAGAUUAUCAGUUCAUGUUCAUAUUGCAAGGAGUCAAUAUGAAGGAUUAAUAGAAGAAAAAUGAAGGAAAGAUGAAAAUCAUGAAGGGCCAUCAAAAAGAAUCAUAAGGCAAGAGAAAACAUGACAAUAGAAGAAUCUUAUGCAUGAAGAGACAAUAGAGAAUAUUUCUACAAAAGAGAAAGAGAUUAUAAAAGAAAAAGCAAAGGUUCUUGCUUAUAAAUUACAAUCAGAUAUAGAAGCUAUUAUAGAUUUGAAGAAGGUAUUGAAAGAGCAUAUUUUAAGUAGAAAGAUUGAAUUUAUAAUUGAUGAAAUUAUAGGAAUUGCAAAACGAGAGUUUUAUAAAGUUGUUAUUGAUACAAUAAAAAGAAAAUGGCAAUCUAUUGGUGAUUCUAUGAUAUCAAAUGCACGAGAUACAAGAGUAAUAGGAAGCAAUGAAGAUGAAGAAGUUGAAAUGCAAAUUAUUAGAGAUGUUUUACGAUUCAAAUUUACAAAGAAAGAAGAUAUGAUUCAAGCUUUUAGUCAUUAUUUUCAAAGUCAUUGUACAAGGACUACUAUAAAAACUUUAAUAAAAUUAGAAAAAUAAAAAUAACCAAUUGUAACAUUGAUUGAUCAUGGUUUUGAAAUCAUAUUAAUAUCAAUAUAAUUAUAUAAAAGAAAAAAUUGGCCUAUUGAUAUUGAGCAUGGGUGGAUGAUAAGAGCAAAAAAUAAUUCAAAAAGAGAUUUGUAUGGAGCUUGUCCAAAUGUCAAGGUGACAAUAUGAGAUGUUAUUCAUGAAUAAAUUUUUUUUGUGCAAGAUAUGUCUAUAUACCCUAUUAUAUUGGGACAACCAUAUAUUACUACCACACCAAUGGAGACAAAGAUUAUGGAUGAUAGAUCAGCUUAUACAAAGAUAAGAAGUCAAGACAAAAAGAAAGUGGCAUAACUUUUAACAAUUUAUAUAAAUCAUAGAAGAAAUUAGAAUAGUUUGAAAGAACAUCCUUUGCCAAAGAUACACAAAGAAAUUUAAAGAUCUUAAAGAUUCAAAGGAUUUUUACUAGAUGCCAUUGUAAAGCAGGAUUGUGAUAGUAAAAAGACUAAAGGCUUUCUACUUAGUAGAAAGGAUGAUGAUAUUAUAGGAUUAUCAUGAGAUGGAUAUAUCUUAUUUAAAAAUAUAAAUAAUUUUAGAAAGAUAGAUAAGAAAAAUGUCAAAAAUAUAGAAUAUGAAUUAAAAAAAUGUGGAAUGAUUGAUGAAGAUGAAUACAUAUCAAGGAUAUUUAAAAAAUCUUGUUUCGAUGAUACUAUGGAUGAUUUAUAAAUAUUAUUGAAUGAAGAUUUUGAAGGAGAUAAUAAGGUAAUAAAUGUGUAUUCUAAGUAAUUUUAUGAUAGAAUAAAAGAAUAUAUAAAUAAAUAUGAAGUGAAUAUAAAUACAAAAUAUAAAACCAUUGCAAGAAAGGUUAAAUUAGUAGCUUUGCCACUACUAUUGAAUUUUGAAGAAAAAAUUAAAGGGGUUUCUAUGCAACCAAACUUAACAAAUCCAAGGAAAAUAGGUCAUGAAUUUAAGGAUGAUUUGACAUUUAAUGGUUUGAAAAUUGGAUGUAAUAAAUUUUUUAACAAGAGAUAAACAGAGAUGUUUUAAAGAAAUGCUUUUACAACAUAGUAAGGCAUUUGUAUUUGAAUCAUAUGAAAUAUCGUGCAUUGAUCCAUGUAUUAUAGUACCUAUGGUUAUUUUAAUAAUUCCAUAUGAACCAUAGAAUUUGAGGCCAAUUCGAGUUCCAAAGGCCCAUUUGCCAAAGCUAGUUGAAUUACUCUAUGAAAAGAUUAAGAUGGAAAUUUUAGAACCAUCUAUUGUAUCAUAUUCCAAUCGGUGGUUCACGGUACCUAAAAAAAAUGGGACAUUGAGGUGUAUUCAAGAUAUAUAACUGAUAGAUAAGAUAACUAUUAGAAACAUAGACUCAAGUCUAAUUAUGGCACACAUGAUGAAUGGAAUACAUAAGGUAUUAAGAAAUUUUAUUUUAAAUAUAAUAAUAUCUUUUUUAGAUGAUGUGCCAAUUAAGACAUGUAAAGAAGAAAAAAAAGAUAAAACUUUGGAUUCAAAAGGAUGUAAGAAGUUUGUGGCAGAUCAUAUUGAUGAUUGUAAAAAGAUUUUGACAAAAUUAGAAGAGGUUCAUUUAACCUUAUCGAAGGUAAAAUCAAUAUUUGGAGUUAAGAAAUUUUUGGUGGUAGGACAUAUGUAUGGGUCAUAUGGAUGCAAGCCAAAUAUGGAAAGGAUUGAUAUUAUAAAAAAGAUGAAAAAAUAUGCAAAUAUAAUGAAAGUUAGAAGGUUUUUAGGAGUAUGUAUUUUCUAUCAUAUAUGGAUAUCACAUUUUGCACACGUAGGAAAUCUAGUAUAUGAGUUGUUAAGAAAGAAUCAAAAAUUUCAAUAGAAAGAAGAGCAAAGAAAAGCUAUGAAAAAAUUGAAAAAACUUCUUUCUUCACAUCCAACUUUGAAGAAAGUAAAUAAUGAGUGUGGAAGACCAGUGGUAUUGAUAGUGGAUAGAAGUCCAAUUGGAAUAGAUUGGACAAUUGAACAAGAUGAUGAACAAGGCAAUAGAUAUGUAAUAAGGUUUGGAGCAAGGAUUUUGAAUGCUAGACAUAGAAGAUAAGUACAAAUUAAAAGAGUAUUAUGGAAUGUAGUAAUUCAAAUAAAAGAGAAUAUUUGAUUGAUACAUUGGUAUUUAUAAAAAUAGAUUGUCAACCUUUAUUGAGCAUGAUUACGAGUUGUUCAACACUAGAUAUUGUAAUAUUAAGAUGGAUUACGUAUAUAAAGUCUAUGAAUCUUGAAUUCAAGCACAUUUUGAGAAAUGACAAUGUGGUUGUAGAUAUGUUGUCACAAGUACAAUAUAAUAAUGAAGAUGAUAUGAUUGAUGAUGAAGAAAAUAUCAACAGUGACUUUUAUUCAACUUUGUGUGCAAGAAGAGAUAGAUUGUCUUUGGCUAUACCAUUUAAAUUAUUCUUAGAAGAAUUAUAUGAUGGUGAAUGAUUGUAUAUAGGAAAAUAUUUAAGUACAUUAAUACGGCAAGAAGGUUGGACAAACAGAGAAUUUAAGAGGAUUCAAAAAAAAGUAUAUGAAUGUUUUCUUUAAAAUGAAUUUUUAUGGAAGCAUCCAAAGAAAAGAAAUAGAAUACCAUGAGUUGUAAAUGAGAUUGAGAUGCAUCAAAAAAUCAUUAAAGAAUUUCGUGAGAGUCGAUGGACAAGGAAUCAAGGUAUUUGAACAAUAUUUACUAAGUUGAAAGAAAAAUAUUGGUAGAAGGGCAUGUACAAAGGUAUAGCAAAUUUUGUAGGAUCUUGUGAAAUUUGUCAAGUAUAUUCAAACAUUUGGCAUUGAGAUGGAUUACACCCAACAUAUCUUUUAGCUUUAUAUUAUAAAUGGGUGGUGGAUUUAGUAACAAUGCCAAUUGGACUUAGACAAAUGAAGUAUUUGGUACUUGCAUGAGAAGAUUUAUCAAAUAUGGUUGAAGGACAAGCAUCAAAAAUAAAGGAUAUUGAAGGUGUAUGCCAAUUUUUAUUGGAAGAUAUUAUUUAUUGCUAUGGUUGUAUUAAAAGAAUUAUAGCA